GACGAACGCUGGCGGCGUGCUUAACACAUGCCAGUCGAACGCUGAAGCCCUGGCUUUUGUUGGGUUGGGUGAGUGGCGAACGGGUGAGUAACACGUGAGUAACCUGCCCUCUUCUUUGGGAUAACGCCCGGAAACGGGUGCUAAUACUGGAUAUUCACUGAUCUUCGCAUGGGGGUUGGUGGAAAGGUUUUUUCUGGUGGGGGAUGGGCUCUCGGCCUAUCAGCUUGUUGGUGGGGUGAUGGCCUACCAGGGCUUUGGCGGGUCGCCGGCCGGAGAGGGUGACCGGUGACAUUGGGACUGAGAUACGGCCCAGACUGCUGCGGGAGUCAGCAGUGGGGAAUAUUGCACAAUGGGCGAAAGCCUGAUGCAGCGGCGCGGCGUGAGGGAUGGAGGCCUUCGGGUUGUAAACCUCUUGCGAUAAUGGUCAAGCCGUAACUGUGGGUUGUGGUGAGGGUAGUGGGUAAAGAAGCGCCGGCUAACUACGUG
Molecule: ribosomal RNA, 486 nt
Filed under: uncultured bacterium
Lineage: Bacteria
Description: partial 16S ribosomal RNA
Rfam family: Bacterial small subunit ribosomal RNA
Source: RNAcentral